RNAcentral lists this ribosomal RNA (446 nucleotides) under uncultured bacterium. RNAcentral describes it as "bacterial SSU rRNA". It matches the Rfam family "Bacterial small subunit ribosomal RNA", at positions 330 to 792 of the family's 1533-position model. The record is from RNAcentral.
GCCAGACUCCUACGGGAGGCAGCAGUGGGGGAUAUUGCACAAUGGGGGGAACCCUGAUGCAGCGACGCCGCGUGGGUGAAGGAGUAUUUCGGUAUGUAAAGCCCUAUCGGCAGGGAAGAAGCAAGACGGUACCUGACUAAGAAGCCCCGGCUAACUACGUGCCAGCAGCCGCGGUAAUACGUAGGGGGCGAGCGUUAUCCGGAUUCACUGGGUGUAAAGGGAGCGUAGACGGCCAUGCAAGCCAGGGGUGAAAGCCCGGGGCCCAACCCCGGGACUGCUCUGGAAACUGUAGAGCUAGAGUGCAGGAGAGGUAAGUGGAAUUCCUAGUGUAGCGGUGAAAUGCGUAGAUAUUAGGAGGAACACCAGUGGCGAAGGCGGCUUUCUGGACUGUAACUGACGUUGAGGCUCGAAAGCGUGGGGAGCAAACAGGAUUAGAUACCCUGGUA